GCCCUUGCGGAUCCGCGGCCGCUGAGAGUUUGAUCCUGGCUCAGGACGAACGCUGGCGGCGUGCCUAAUGCAUGCAAGUCGCACGCACUCGCUUCGGCGGGUGAGUGGCGCACGGCUGAGUAACACGUGGGAACCCGCCCCCCGGUGGGGGAUAACGCGACGAAAGUCGCGCUAAUCCCGCAUACGUCCGCAGGGGGAAAGCGCUUCGGCGCGCCGGGGGAGGGGCCUGCGGCCCAUCAGGUCGUUGGUGGGGUAACGGCCUACCAAGCCGAUGACGGGUAGCUGGUCUGGGAGGAUGACCAGCCAGACUGGGACUGAGACACGGCCCAGACUCCUACGGGAGGCAGCAGCAAGGAAUUUUCGGCAAUGGGCGCAAGCCUGACCGAGCAACGCCGCGUGCGGGAUGACGGCCUUCGGGUUGUAAACCGCUUUUCGGGGGGACGAUGAUGACGGUACCCCCGGAACAAGCCCCGGCUAACUCUGUGCCAGCAGCCGCGGUAAGACAGAGGGGGCGAGCGUUGUCCGGAGUCACUGGGCGUAAAGCGCGCGCAGGCGGUCGCCAAAGUGUCGUGUGAAAGCCCCCGGCUCAACCGGGGGAGGCCAUGGCAAACUCGGCGACUGGAGCGGCGGAGAGGCCCCUCGAAUUGCCGGUGUAGCGGUGAAAUGCGUAGAGAUCGGCAGGAAGACCAAGGGGGAAGCCAGGGGGCUGGCCGCUGGCUGACGCUGAGGCGCGACAGCGUGGGGAGCGAACCGGAUUAGAUACCCGGGUAGUCCACGCCGUAAACAAUGACCACUCGGCGUGCGGCGACUAUUGACGUCGCGGUGCGCCUUAGCUCACGCGCUAAGUGGUCCGCCUGGGAACUACGAGCGCAAGCUUAAAACUCAAGGAAUUGACGGGGGCCCGCACAAGCAGCGGAGCGUGUGGUUUAAUUCGAGGCAACCCGAAGAAACCUUACCCAGGCUUGACAUGA
RNAcentral lists this ribosomal RNA (971 nucleotides) under uncultured bacterium. RNAcentral's name for it is "bacterial SSU rRNA". It matches the Rfam family "Bacterial small subunit ribosomal RNA", at positions 1 to 989 of the family's 1533-position model. The record is from RNAcentral.